AGUGAACGCUGGCGGUAGGCCUAACACAUGCAAGUCGAACGGCAGCACAGAGGAGCUUGCUCCUUGGGUGGCGAGUGGCGGACGGGUGAGGAAUACAUCGGAAUCUACUCUGUCGUGGGGGAUAACGUAGGGAAACUUACGCUAAUACCGCAUACGACCUACGGGUGAAAGCAGGGGACCUUCGGGCCUUGCGCGAUUGAAUGAACCGAUGUCGGAUUAGCUAGUUGGCGGGGUAAAGGCCCACCAAGGCGACGAUCCGUAGCUGGUCUGAGAGGGUGAUCAGCCACACUGGAACUGAGACACGGUCCAGACUGCUACGGGAGGCAGCAGUGGGGAAUAUUGGACAAUGGGCGCAAGCCUGAUCCAGCCAUACCGCGUGGGUGAAGAAGGCCUUCGGGUUGUAAAGCCCUUUUGUUGGGAAAGAAAUCCAGCUGGCUAAUACCCGGUUGGGAUGACGGUACCCAAAGAAUAAGCACCGGCUAACUACGUGCCAGCAGCCGCAGUAA
Molecule: ribosomal RNA, 506 nt
Filed under: uncultured bacterium
Lineage: Bacteria
Description: partial 16S ribosomal RNA
Rfam family: Bacterial small subunit ribosomal RNA
Source: RNAcentral